Non-coding RNA from Bubalus bubalis (water buffalo), 1529 nucleotides. NCBI's taxonomy places the organism in Eukaryota, Metazoa, Chordata, Mammalia, Artiodactyla, Bovidae. The record is from the annotation of a RefSeq genome assembly.
UUCCUCCUCUCUGGUACAGAGGUCCACAGUUUUUAGGUAUUUCAGGAUCUCUCUUUUCCUAUCCUGUCUCAAUCCCACAAUGAGACAGCUGCAUUAUUUUUGGCAAAUCCCUCAUGCACUGGUGCCUGGAAGCUGCCUCCAUGGAGUAAGCUGGGCAAUGUUAGUGCUCAUCUCAUCUGUUUUCCUUAUCUCUGUGCUACCUGAUGUUCAAGGUCCAAAAAUAGUUUUCCAAUUGGAAGAUCAACUCUACCGUUAUCAGUGAAAAAGAAGUCAUGUAUUUUAUUUUUGUUAUGUUUUACAAAUAUGUCAUUCCACGAUAAAUCAGGAUAAUAACCUUAUCACUUAACUGCACAUUAUUCGACACCUGCCUUACAAAAAAUUUUCUCCACGGCAUGUUGACAGAGUCAACAUGAAUAUAACUACUUCAGAGAAAUGACUUGGGUUGAGGAGGAAGCACUUUCCAUACAGAGGGAUCCUUCUCUUACCCAUGGGAAUCAGAGACACAUGCAAGGAAAAAACCUCUGACUAUUCCAUCUAGAAAUUGUAACUGGGGUUUCUGUCGAAGCUAGAGAUACCUGUACAUGCAAAAAAUUAUGGAAUGAAUAAUAGAAUAUUUCCCUCGGCACGCUUAUGUUUAGGACUCUCUUCUUAGGAUCCUGUCCCAUUCUCCUGUAUGUACCCCCACAAGCUAUUAUCAGGAGGAAUAGGUCAGACAACACUGUGGUGCAAUUUUCACGAUCACCACCAGAGGGCGGGGCUUCCUUCAGAUACGUUUCCUCAUUGUAUUCAGGAGCUGGUUUCACUUGCCUGCUUGUAGCCACAGACAGAAUAUUGCUGCAGUACAGAAAGGGGCUCUCAGUUUCUGAGCGAGGAGCUUCUGUAACAUUCAGAUGGAGACUAGAUUUGUGUAUUCCAGGGAACAAGGAUCGUUUUCUUUUGCGAACAUGCAUUCUGCCACUCACUCAGUUCUUCUGAUCAUCUUAAUAUUCAGAGGGACCAAUGGUGACUCAGUGAACCAGACAGAAGGCCCAGUGACUGUCUCAGAGGGGGCUCUCAUGACCCUGAACUGCACUUACCAGACUGCUGAUUCUGCUCCCUUUCUUUUCUGGUACAUCCAGCAUCUCAACAAAGCUCCUCAAUUCCUCCUAAAGGGCUCAAUGUCAGACCAGAACCCAAAGAGUAAAGGUUUCCAGGCCACUCUUGUUAAGCGUGACAGCUCCUUCCACCUGCAGAAACGGGCAGUGCAAGCAUCAGACUCGGCUGUGUACUACUGUGCUCUGAGUGACACAGUGAGAGAGGGCUGCGGGGGAGCUGAGCACAAACCCCGAGUGCAGAUGGGGCUCUGGCUGUGGGCAGCCCUGCAGGGGGGUUGUUGUUUCUGUCUUAGGCGCUUUAUGCUAGCUGUGUUGUUGUUUAUGUACUAAGUCACGUCCGACUCUUUUACUACCCUAUGACUGUAGUGGGCUCUUCUGUCCAUGGGAUUUCCCAGGCAAGAAGACUGGAGUGGGUUGCCAUUUCUUUCUCCUGGG